Molecule: ribosomal RNA, 326 nt
Filed under: uncultured eukaryote
Lineage: Eukaryota
Description: partial 18S ribosomal RNA
Rfam family: Eukaryotic small subunit ribosomal RNA
Source: RNAcentral
CCCUUAGAUGUCCUGGGCCGCACGCGCGCUACACUGAUGCAUUCAACGAGUUUUACCUUGGCCGAGAGGCCUGGGCAAUCUUUUAAACCUGCAUUGUGAUAGGGAUAGAUUAUUGAAAUUAUUAAUCUUGAACGAGGAAUUCCUAGUAAACGCAGAUCACCAAUCUGCAUUGAUUACGUCCCUGCCCUUUGUACACACCGCCCGUCGCACCUACCGAUUGGAUGGUCCGGUGAAGCCUCGGGAUUGUGGUUCUUGCCGCUUUAUUGUGGCGUGACCGCGAGAACUUGUCUAAACCUUAUCAUCUAGAGGAAGGUGAAGUCGUAACA